AUUGAACGCUGGCGGAAUGCUUUACACAUGCAAGUCGAGCGGCAGGCGCGGGGGCAACCCUGGCGGCGAGCGGCGAACGGGUGAGUAAUACAUCGGAACGUGUCCUUAAGUGGGGGAUAGACUCGGCGAAAGCCGGAUUAAUACCGCAUAAGCUCUGAGGAGGAAAGCGGGGGGCUACCGUAAGGACCUCGCGCUGUUGGAGCGGCCGAUGUCGGAUUAGCUAGUUGGUGGGGUAAAGGCCCACCAAGGCGACGAUCCGUAGCUGGUCUGAGAGGAUGAUCAG
This 283-nucleotide ribosomal RNA is filed under the name uncultured bacterium. RNAcentral describes it as "partial 16S ribosomal RNA". It matches the Rfam family "Bacterial small subunit ribosomal RNA", at positions 29 to 307 of the family's 1533-position model. The record is from RNAcentral.